Molecule: unclassified non-coding RNA, 193 nt
Filed under: plant metagenome
Description: partial contains small subunit ribosomal RNA and internal transcribed spacer 1
Source: RNAcentral
AAAGUCGUAACAAGGUUUUCCGUAGGUGAAACCUGCGGAAGGAUCAUUAAAGAGUUAGGCUUCGCGGCCAAGUUUCUCACCCUUUGUAUUACCGAAACCAUGUUGCUUUGGCAGGCCCCUGCAUUUCUCGGGCCUGCCAGAGGUUAUAAACUCUAGAAUCUCUGCUGUCUGAGUACUAUGCAAUUAGUUAAAA